CCUACGGGUGGCAGCAGUGAGGAAUAUUGGUCAAUGGCCGCAAGGCUGAACCAGCCAAGCCGCGUGAAGGAAGAAGGAUCUAUGGUUUGUAAACUCCUUUUAUAGGGGAAUAAAGGUAUCCACGUGUGGCUAUUUGCAUGUACCCUACGAAUAAGCAUCGGCUAACUCCGUGCCAGCAGCCGCGGUAAUACGGAGGAUUCGAGCGUUAUCCGGAUUUAUUGGGUUUAAAGGGUGCGUAGGUUGGUUGUUAAGUCAGCGGUGAAAGUUUGUGGCUCAACCAUAAAAUUGCCGUUGAUACUGGCAGACUUGAGUGUGUUUGAGGUAGGCGGAAUGCGUGGUGUAGCGGUGAAAUGCGUAGAUAUCACGCAGAACACCGAUUGCGAAGGCAGCUUACUAAGCCAUAACUGACGCUGAGGCACGAAAGCGUGGGGAUCAAACAGGAUUAGAUACCCCGGUAGUC
This 460-nucleotide ribosomal RNA is filed under the name uncultured bacterium. RNAcentral describes it as "partial 16S ribosomal RNA". It matches the Rfam family "Bacterial small subunit ribosomal RNA", at positions 338 to 795 of the family's 1533-position model. The record is from RNAcentral.